GACGAACGCUGGCGGCGUGCUUAACACAUGCAAGUCGAACGGAAAGGCCCUGCUUUUGUGGGGUGCUCGAGUGGCGAACGGGUGAGUAACACGUGAGUAACCUGCCCUUGACUUUGGGAUAACUUCAGGAAACUUGGUCUAAUACCGGAUAGGAGCUCCUGCUGCAUGGUGGGGGUUGGAAAGUUUCGGCUGUUGGGGAUGGACUCGCGGCUUAUCAGCUUGUUGGUGGGGUAGUGGCUUACCAAGGCUUUGACGGGUAGCCGGCCUGAGAGGGUGACCGGCCACAUUGGGACUGAGAUACGGCCCAGACUCCUACGGGAGGCAGCAGUGGGGAAUAUUGCACAAUGGGCGGAAGCCUGAUGCAGCAACGCCGCGUGCGGAAUGACGGCCUUCGGGUUGUAAACCGCUUUCGCCUGUGACGAAGCGUGAGUGACGGUAAUGGGUAAAGAAGCACCGGCUAACUACGUG
RNAcentral lists this ribosomal RNA (468 nucleotides) under uncultured bacterium. Its description in RNAcentral is "partial 16S ribosomal RNA". It matches the Rfam family "Bacterial small subunit ribosomal RNA", at positions 28 to 507 of the family's 1533-position model. The record is from RNAcentral.